UCACCGGCCGGAUCUCGCUCUUCAGUGUACAGCAAGAAGUUCAUGUAUUGAUGCCCCUGGAGUCCAUGUAGCUCUGCUGCCAUGCUACCCUUAUCGGCCUCGGCUAUGUCUAAGGAGCUCCCUUCUGUUCAGUGGAUUCAACAAAAAAAGUCCCUGCUGCCACUGCAUCCUCAGUUCAAGGGAUUCCUUAGGGGCCUUCUACACCAUCUUGCUAAUGAUGCCAUCGCCCGAUGCCAUAGCCAUGCUCGUCGUUCUUGUACUGCCAUU
Molecule: long non-coding RNA, 267 nt
Organism: Triticum aestivum (bread wheat)
Lineage: Eukaryota; Viridiplantae; Streptophyta; Magnoliopsida; Poales; Poaceae
Exons: 3
Source: RefSeq, a predicted model, not a curated record